RNAcentral lists this ribosomal RNA (253 nucleotides) under uncultured bacterium. RNAcentral's name for it is "partial 16S ribosomal RNA". It matches the Rfam family "Bacterial small subunit ribosomal RNA", at positions 524 to 776 of the family's 1533-position model. The record is from RNAcentral.
UACGUAGGGGGCAAGCGUUGUCCGGAAUUACUGGGCGUAAAGCGCAUGUAGGCGGAGGGGUGUGUCGAACGUGAAAGGCUGCGGCUCAACCGCAGAGCGCCGUUCGAAACUGCCUUUCUUGAGGGCCGAAGAGGAGAGUGGAAUUCCCGGUGUAGCGGUGAAAUGCGUAGAGAUCGGGAGGAACACCCAUGGCGAAGGCAGCUCUCUGGUCGGUCUCUGACGCUGAGAUGUGAAAGCGUGGGGAGCGAACGGG